Molecule: ribosomal RNA, 505 nt
Filed under: Spariolenus iranomaximus
Lineage: Eukaryota; Metazoa; Arthropoda; Arachnida; Araneae; Sparassidae
Description: Spariolenus Iranomaximus partial 16S ribosomal RNA
Rfam family: Bacterial large subunit ribosomal RNA
Source: RNAcentral
UCGACUGUUUAUCAAAAACAUAUUUAAUAGAAAUAAUUAUUAAUGUAACCUGCUCAAUGAAAUUUAAAUAGCCGCAGUUCAUACUGUGCUAAGGUAGCAUAAUCAAUUGUCUUUUAAUUAAAGACUAGAAUGAAAGGUUCAACAUUUAGACUCUUUUCUUAAUUUAUUAAUUUAAAAUUAUUUUAAAUGUAAAAAAACAUUUAUAAAUAAGAAAGACGACAAGACCCUAUUGAACUUAACUCAAGUUAAACUGGGGCAGUUUAAUAAUUAAAAUUUAAUUCAUAUUCUCAAACAAAUGACCUAAUAAAAUUAAUUUAUUGAUCAAGUUACCAUAGGGAUAACAGCGUAAUAAUUUUCUAAAGAUAUUAUAUAAAAAAAAGAUUGCGACCUCGAUGUUGAAUUAAUAAUCUAUUUAACAAAAAAUUAAAAAAGAAAGUCUGUUCGACUUUUAAACAAUUACAUGAUUUGAGUUCAGACCGGUGUAAACCAGGUCGGUUUCUAUCUU